AGUGAACGCUGGCGGUAGGCCUAACACAUGCAAGUCGAACGGCAGCACAGUAAGAGCUUGCUCUUACGGGUGGCGAGUGGCGGACGGGUGAGGAAUACAUCGGAAUCUACUUUUUCGUGGGGGAUAACGUAGGGAAACUUACGCUAAUACCUCAUACGACCUACGGGUGAAAGCAGGGGAUCUUCGGACCUUGCGCGAUUGAAUGAGCCGAUGUCGGAUUAGCUAGUUGGCGGGGUAAAGGCCCACCAAGGCGACGAUCCGUAGCUGGUCUGAGAGGAUGAUCAGCCACACUGGAACUGAGACACGGUCCAGACUCCUACGGGAGGCAGCAGUGGGGAAUAUUGGACAAUGGGCGCAAGCCUGAUCCAGCCAUACCGCGUGGGUGAAGAAGGCCUUCGGGUUGUAAAGCCCUUUUGUUGGGGAAGAAAAGCAGCAGGUUAAUACCCCGCUGUUCUGACGGUACCCAAAGAAUAAGCACCGGCUAACUUCGUG
Molecule: ribosomal RNA, 492 nt
Filed under: uncultured bacterium
Lineage: Bacteria
Description: partial 16S ribosomal RNA
Rfam family: Bacterial small subunit ribosomal RNA
Source: RNAcentral